GGAAGCAUCUGACCCUGAUGAUCUCGUGGGCACCUGGAAAGCAUCAUUUAGGAAUAGAAACUGUGAGAUUCUGCAGGGUGAACCAUGAGGCAAUAUAGCAGUGAAUUCUAUUGCCAGACCAGAUGAACCUGUCAGCACUGGCCAUCAUGGGAUCAACAAUCUAAGGGAAAGAGAAGUCUUUUAGACAGAAGAAGGAAAAAAAAGUCUUCCCUAGCAACUUCUAUUGUCUUUCCUGCUACACUGCCAUUGUCACUGACGAAGCAGAGGGGGACACAAAAACUCAGAGGCCAGUUUUCUUUGUCUUUUUUCCAUGG
RNAcentral lists this long non-coding RNA (314 nucleotides) under Phascolarctos cinereus (koala). RNAcentral's name for it is "lncRNA (ENSPCIG00000030862.1)". The record is from RNAcentral. Lineage: Eukaryota; Metazoa; Chordata; Mammalia; Diprotodontia; Phascolarctidae.